UAGGGAAUCUUCGGCAAUGGGGGGAACCCUGACCGAGCAACGCCGCGUGAGUGAAGAAGGUUUUCGGAUCGUAAAGCUCUGUUGUUAAGGAAGAACGAGUGUGAGAAUGGAAAGUUCAUACUGUGACGGUACUUAACCAGAAAGGGACGGCUAACUACGUGCCAGCAGCCGCGGUAAUACGUAGGUGGCAAGCGUUGUCCGGAUUUAUUGGGCGUAAAGCGAGCGCAGGCGGUCAAUUAAGUCUGAUGUGAAAGCCCCCGGCUCAACCGGGGAGGGUCAUUGGAAACUGGAAAACUUGAGUGCAGAAGAGGAAAGUGGAAUUCCAUGUGUAGCGGUGAAAUGCGCAGAGAUAUGGAGGAACACCAGUGGCGAAGGCGACUUUCUGGUCUGUAACUGACGCUGAUGUGCGAAAGCGUGGGGAUCAAACAGG
This 430-nucleotide ribosomal RNA is filed under the name Bacteroidota bacterium. RNAcentral's name for it is "Bacteroidetes bacterium partial 16S ribosomal RNA". It matches the Rfam family "Bacterial small subunit ribosomal RNA", at positions 355 to 776 of the family's 1533-position model. Lineage: Bacteria; Pseudomonadati; Bacteroidota. The record is from RNAcentral.